AGUCGAGCGGUAACAUUUCUAGCUUGCUAGAAGAUGACGAGCGGCGGACGGGUGAGUAACGCGUAGGAAUCUGCCUAGUAGAGGGGGACAACAUGUGGAAACGCAUGCUAAUACCGCAUACGCCCUUAGGGGGAAAGGAGGGGAUCUUAGGACCUUCCGCUAUUAGAUGAGCCUGCGUAAGAUUAGCUAGUUGGUGGGGUAAAGGCCUACCAAGGCGACGAUCUUUAACUGGUCUGAGAGGAUGACCAGUCACACUGGGACUGAGACACGGCCCAGACUCCUACGGGAGGCAGCAGUGGGGAAUAUUGGACAAUGGGCGAAAGCCUGAUCCAGCCAUGCCGCGUGUGUGAAGAAGGCCUUAGGGUUGUAAAGCACUUUCAGUGGGGAGG
RNAcentral lists this ribosomal RNA (389 nucleotides) under Marinomonas mangrovi. RNAcentral's name for it is "bacterial SSU rRNA". It matches the Rfam family "Bacterial small subunit ribosomal RNA", at positions 60 to 447 of the family's 1533-position model. The record is from RNAcentral. Lineage: Bacteria; Pseudomonadati; Pseudomonadota; Gammaproteobacteria; Oceanospirillales; Oceanospirillaceae.